AUUGAACGCUGGCGGCAUGCUUUACACAUGCAAGUCGAACGGUAACAGGGAGCUUGCUCCGCUGGCGAGUGGCGGACGGUGCGUAAUGCAUAGGAAUCUGCCUAUUAGUGGGGAUAACGUGGGAAACUCACGCUAAUACCGCAUACGCUCUACGGAGGAAAGCUGGGGAUCUUCGGACCUGGCGCUAAUAGAUGAGCCUAUGUUGGAUUAGCUAGUUGGUAGGGUAAAGGCCUACCAAGGCGACGAUCCAUAGCUGGUCUGAGAGGAUGAUCAGCCACACUGGGACUGAGACACGGCCCAGACUCCUACGGGAGGCAGCAGUGGGGAAUAUUGGACAAUGGGCGAAAGCCUGAUCCAGCAAUACCGCGUGUGUGAAGAAGGCCUGAGGGUUGUAAAGCACUUUCAAUAGGAAGGAAUACCUGCCGGUUAAUACCCGGUAGACUGACAUUACCUAUACAAGAAGCACCGGCUAACUCCGUG
Molecule: ribosomal RNA, 480 nt
Filed under: uncultured bacterium
Lineage: Bacteria
Description: bacterial SSU rRNA
Rfam family: Bacterial small subunit ribosomal RNA
Source: RNAcentral